Molecule: ribosomal RNA, 305 nt
Filed under: uncultured bacterium
Lineage: Bacteria
Description: partial 16S ribosomal RNA
Rfam family: Bacterial small subunit ribosomal RNA
Source: RNAcentral
ACAGCAGCAGCCGCGGUAAUACGAAGGGUGCAAGCGUUAAUCGGAAUUACUGGGCGUAAAGCGUGCGUAGGCGGUUUGUUAAGUCUGCUGUGAAAUCCCCGGGCUCAACCUGGGAAUGGCAGUGGAUACUGGCAAGCUAGAGUGUGUCAGAGGAUGGUGGAAUUCCCGGUGUAGCGGUGAAAUGCGUAGAGAUCGGAAGGAACAUCUGUGGCGAAGGCGACUAUCUGGGCCAACACUGACACUGAGGCACGAAAGCGUGGGGAGCAGACAGGAUUAGAUACCCCUGUAGUCCCUGUCUCUUAUAC